AGGGGGAGUAUGGUCACAAGGCUGAAACUUAAAGGAAUUGACGGAAGGGCACACCAGGAGUGGAGCCUGCGGCUUAAUUUGACUCAACACGGGAAAACUUACCAAGACCGAACAGUAGAAGGAAUGACAGAUUAAGAGUUCUUUCAUGAUUUAUUGGGUAGUGGUGCAUGGCCGUUCUUAGUUGGUGGAGUGAUUUGUCAGGUUAAUUCCGGUAACGAACGAGACUGAAACCUAUUAAUUAGUUUUCUGCCUAUAAGACAGAAAUGUUCGCAAGAACAGGUGCGUAAGUACCACUUCUUAAAGGGACACAUUUCAAUUGUCCUAUUUUAAUUGUAGUUAUCUAAUUUCGGUA
This 352-nucleotide ribosomal RNA is filed under the name Entamoeba histolytica. RNAcentral describes it as "SSU rRNA". It matches the Rfam family "Eukaryotic small subunit ribosomal RNA", at positions 1117 to 1452 of the family's 1831-position model. The record is from RNAcentral. Lineage: Eukaryota; Evosea; Mastigamoebida; Endamoebidae.